UACGUAGGGGGCGAGCGUUGUCCGGAUUUAUUGGGCGUAAAGAGCUCGUAGGCGGUCUGUCGCGUCGAAUGUGAAAACCCGGGGCUCAACCCCGGGCCUGCAUUCGAUACGGGCAGACUAGAGUUCGGUAGGGGAGUCUGGAAUUCCUGGUGUAGCGGUGAAAUGCGCAGAUAUCAGGAGGAACACCGGUGGCGAAGGCGGGACUCUGGGCCGAUACUGACGCUGAGGAGCGAAAGCGUGGGGAGCGAACAGG
Molecule: ribosomal RNA, 253 nt
Filed under: uncultured bacterium
Lineage: Bacteria
Description: partial 16S ribosomal RNA
Rfam family: Bacterial small subunit ribosomal RNA
Source: RNAcentral